GAUGAAGAACGUAGCGAAAUGCGAUAAGUAAUGUGAAUUGCAGAAUUCAGUAAAUCAUCGAAUCUUUGAACGCACAUUGCGCCCAUUAGUAUUCUAGUGGGCAUGCCUGUUCGAGCGUCAUUAAGUCCACUUAAGCCCUGCUUAGUGUUGGGAGACUGCUCCAGCGGUGCUACCCUGUAGCUACCCUGCAGCUCCUCAAAGACAGCGGCGGAGUUGUGGUAUCCUCUGAGCUUAGUAACUUGUUCUAGCUUUCGAGUACACCACUUCCCCUGCCGUAAAACCCUUAAUUUUUAAUGGUUGACCUCGGAUCAGGUAGGAAUACCCGCUGAACUUAAGCAUAUCAAUAAGCGGAGGA
Molecule: unclassified non-coding RNA, 355 nt
Filed under: soil metagenome
Description: partial contains 5.8S ribosomal RNA, internal transcribed spacer 2, and large subunit ribosomal RNA
Rfam family: 5.8S ribosomal RNA (bases 1-120)
Source: RNAcentral